Molecule: unclassified non-coding RNA, 204 nt
Filed under: Hevea brasiliensis (rubber tree)
Lineage: Eukaryota; Viridiplantae; Streptophyta; Magnoliopsida; Malpighiales; Euphorbiaceae
Source: RNAcentral
CCUGCUUUUGUCGCUAGAGUUUUAAUAAUUUUUUAGUUCUUUUUUUUCCUGGUGGGUUAAAUGUAUACAUAAGUGUAUAGAUACUAAGGCUUUAAUUCUCUUUCAUUAAUUUGCUUUUUCUUACAAGGUAUUGAUUUGCAUGUAUCCCUUUACAUCGAUGAGACUUUUUUUUUUUUUAAGCAGUUGAUUACAGUCUCACAAGAC